CACGAACCGUACAAACGUUAUUCGGAAUUACUGGGCUUAAAGGGUGCGUAGGCGGCCUGGAAAGUUGGAUGUGAAAUCCCUCGGCUCAACCGAGGAAUAGCGUUCAAAACUGCCAGGCUAGAGGGAGACAGAGGUGAGUGGAACUUAGGGUGGAGCGGUGAAAUGCGUUGAUAUCCUAAGGAACACCAGUGGCGAAAGCGACUCACUGGGUCUCUUCUGACGCUGAGGCACGAAAGCUAGGGGAGCGAACGGG
Molecule: ribosomal RNA, 253 nt
Filed under: uncultured bacterium
Lineage: Bacteria
Description: partial 16S ribosomal RNA
Rfam family: Bacterial small subunit ribosomal RNA
Source: RNAcentral